UGAGUGCGAGCUGCUACGGCAGCGAAGUUGGUGAUGUCAUGCUUCCAAGAAAAGCCCUAUACCCGUUAAGGCAUCAUGGCCUGUACCCGAAACCGACACAGGUGGGGUGGUAGAGAAUACCGAGGGGCGCGAGGUAACUCUCUCUAAGGAACUCGGCAAGAUGGCCCCGUAACUUCGGGAGAAGGGGUGCCACCGCAAGGUGGUCGCAGUGAAGAGGCCCAGGCGACUGUUUACCAAAAACACAGGUCUCCGCUAAGUCGCAAGACGAUGUAUGGGGGCUGACGCCUGCCCAGUGCCGGAAGGUUAAGGAAGCUGGUCAGCGCAAGCGAAGCUAGCGACUGAAGCCCCGGUGAACGGCGGCCGUAACGAUAACGGUCCUAAGGUAGCGAAAUUCCUUGUCAGGUAAGUUCCGACCCGCACGAAAGGCGUAACGAUCUGGGCGCUGUCUCGGAGAGAGGCUCGGCGAAAUAGAAUUGUCUGUGAAGAUGCGGACUACGUGCACCCGGACAGAAAGACCCUAUGAAGCUUUACUGUAGCUUGGUAUUGUGCCCGGGCUCGCAAUGCGCAGGAUAGGUGGGAGGCUUUGAUCAUCGGCUUGCGGGUCGAUGUGAGCCAACGGUGAGAUACCACUCUUUGCGAGCUAGGGUUCUAACGGCCACCCGUCAUCCGGGGGCCGGACAGUACCUGGUGGGCAGUUUGACUGGGGCGGUCGCCUCCUAAAAGGUAACGGAGGCGCGCAAAGGUUUGCUCAGGCUGGUUGGAAAUCAGCCGACGAGUGUAAAAGCAGAAGCAAGCUUGACUGUGAGACCAACAAGUCGAACAGGGAGGAAACUCGGCUUUAGUGAUCCGACGGUUCUGAGUGGAAGGGCCGUCGCUCAACGGAUAAAAGUUACUCUAAGGAUAACAGGCUGAUCUCCCCCAAGAGUUCACAUCGACGGGGAGGUUUGGCACCUCGAUGUCGGCUCAUCGCAACCUGGGGCUGAAGUCGGUCCCAAGGGUUGGGCUGUUCGCCCAUUAAAGCGGUACGCGAGCUGGGUUCAGAACGUCGUGAGACAGUUCGGUCCAUAUCCGGUGCACGCGCAGGAAUAUUGAGAGGAUUUCUCCCUAGUACGAGAGGACCGGGAGGAACGCACCUCUGGUGUACCAGUUAUCGUGCCAACGGUAAACGCUGGGUAGCCAUGUGCGGAGUGGAUAACCGCUGAAAGCAUCUAAGUGGGAAGCCCACCUCAAGAUGAGUAUUCCCAUGGCGUAAGCCAGUAAGGUCACGGGAAGAACACCCGUUGAUAGGCUCUAUGUGGAAGCGCAGUAAUGCGUGAAGCAGAGGAGUACUAAUAGACC
Molecule: ribosomal RNA, 1338 nt
Filed under: metagenome
Description: bacterial LSU rRNA
Rfam family: Bacterial large subunit ribosomal RNA
Source: RNAcentral